GAUGAACGCUGGCGGCGUGCCUAAUACAUGCAGGUCGAGCGAACAGACGAGGAGCUUGCUCCUCUGACGUUAGCGGCGGACGGGUGAGUAACACGUGGAUAACCUACCUAUAAGACUGGGAUAACUUCGGGAAACCGGAGCUAAUACCGGAUAAUAUAUUGAACCGCAUGGUUCAAUAGUGAAAGAGGGUGUUGCGGUCACUUAUAGAUGGAUCCGCGCCGCAUUAGCUAGUUGGUAAGGUAACGGCUUACCAAGGCAACGAUGCGUAGCCGACCUGAGAGGGUGAUCGGCCACACUGGAACUGAGACACGGUCCAGACUCCUACGGGAGGCAGCAGUAGGGAAUCUUCCGCAAUGGGCGAAAGCCUGACGGAGCAACGCCGCGUGAAUGAUGAAGGUCUUCGGAUCGUAAAACUCUGUUAUUAGGGAAGAACAAAUGUGUAAGUAACUAUGCACGUCUUGACGGUACCUAAUCAGAAAGCCACGGCUAACUACGUG
RNAcentral lists this ribosomal RNA (497 nucleotides) under uncultured bacterium. RNAcentral's name for it is "partial 16S ribosomal RNA". It matches the Rfam family "Bacterial small subunit ribosomal RNA", at positions 28 to 507 of the family's 1533-position model. The record is from RNAcentral.